UGGGGAAUUUUGGACAAUGGGCGAAAGCCUGAUCCAGCAAUGCCGCGUGUGUGAAGAAGGCCUUCGGGUUGUAAAGCACUUUUGUCCGGAAAGAAAUCCUUGGCUCUAAUACAGUCGGGGGAUGACGGUACCGGAAGAAUAAGCACCGGCUAACUACGUGCCAGCAGCCGCGGUAAUACGUAGGGUGCAAGCGUUAAUCGGAAUUACUGGGCGUAAAGCGUGCGCAGGCGGUUUGCUAAGACCGAUGUGAAAUCCCCGGGCUCAACCUGGGAACUGCAUUGGUGACUGGCAGGCUAGAGUAUGGCAGAGGGGGGUAGAAUUCCACGUGUAGCAGUGAAAUGCGUAGAGAUGUGGAGGAAUACCGAUGGCGAAGGCAGCCCCCUGGGCCAAUACUGACGCUCAUGCACGAAAGCGUGGGGAGCAAACAGGAUUAGAUACCCUGGGUAGUCCACGCCCUAAACGAUGUCAACUAGUUGUUGGGGAUUCAUUUCCUUAGUAACGUAGCUAACGCGUGAAGUUGACCGCCUGGGGAGUACGGUCGCAAGAUUAAAACUCAAAGGAAUUGACGGGGUCAUA
This 576-nucleotide ribosomal RNA is filed under the name uncultured bacterium. RNAcentral's name for it is "partial 16S ribosomal RNA". It matches the Rfam family "Bacterial small subunit ribosomal RNA", at positions 355 to 923 of the family's 1533-position model. The record is from RNAcentral.